This is a long non-coding RNA of Amblyraja radiata (thorny skate), 682 nucleotides long. RefSeq lists it as uncharacterized. The transcript is spliced from 5 exons. The record is from RefSeq and is a predicted model, not a curated record. NCBI's taxonomy places the organism in Eukaryota, Metazoa, Chordata, Chondrichthyes, Rajiformes, Rajidae.
GCAAGAGGCCAUCCUCUUGUAUUACCAAACCUAUAUAAAGCUGGAAAAUGAGGCAUCUCUCUCAUUGCUGUCAAGAGGAAGAGGAUUCAAGAAAUCUUUCCUUACCAGAAGCGUGAAGUAAGAUGGCACAGUUCGAUGCAGGUCAUGUGGUGAUAAUGUCCCAGCCUACCUCUGCCAGGCAAAACAACUGGGGCACUGGACUGUGCAGCUGUUUCGAUGAUGUGGGAGUAUGUUGCUGUGGGACGUUCUGUACAAUUUGCCUUGGCUGUCAGGUUGCAGGGGACAUGAACGAGUGUUGUCUCUGUGGGACUUCCAUGGCUAUGAGAACCCUCAUCAGGACAAAGUACUCCAUAACUGGAAGUCUCUGUAACGAUUGGCUGGUAACCAUGUGUUUCCUCCCGUGUUCUCUCUGCCAACUUAAAAGGGAAUUAAACAGUCAUCACUGAUAUGAUCAGUGUUCAUCGCACGUACAUUGCAUUUCAUGUGGGAUAUCAUUGGCAGAACAACUGAAAUGACCAGAAUGACGAUAUAAAGAGGAUUGAUUGAUAUUGUAUGUGUUGAAUGUCACUGUGUUUGCCCCGGCUCCAAUUCAUGGAUUCUUCAGAAGAGAAAUGUCUUUAGCAAUGUACUGUCUCCCUUUCAGCCUGAAAAACUGAAGUCAUUAUCUUCAUAAUGGCAUCAC